Molecule: long non-coding RNA, 468 nt
Filed under: Homo sapiens (human)
Lineage: Eukaryota; Metazoa; Chordata; Mammalia; Primates; Hominidae
Description: HSALNT0359103
Source: RNAcentral
GGAAAAGGAGGCACAAGAUGAGCAGGCUUAGGCCUAGGGCGCCAAGAUUUUACCAGAAGGCAGUAUGGGGCAACCCUCUGAACGAACCCAAAUGUCAAGGCCAAGUAGAGGUGAGGGAGAGAAGCUCUAGUGACAAGCACUUUGGGGGCAGUCACUGGGUCUCACACCCCUUGUACCUUAACUGACUCCUUGUGUAAUGCUACAAACGGAUGGAUAUGACCAUACUCUCAAAAGAAGUAACGUAACACACAAGGGCCACACUUCUCAUUCCCACUCUAGUGUUCCUGCUGUGAAAGAGUUGGAGUAAUAUUCUAUGGAGGUGAGGGAUGGGACUUUUCUUUCAUACCUAAUUGUAUUUCUGGAAGACUGCCAGCUUUCCAGACAGACACUUGAUCUGAGUAUUCAUUGACUGCCCUUCGCCGUGGGAAGGUGGGAAAGAAAAAUAAAUCAGGAGUCAGAAACGUAAAA